AACUUCUGAAUGUUGACCUCGGAUCAGGUAGGAAUACCCGCUGAACUUAAGCAUAUCAAUAAGCGGAGGAAAA
RNAcentral lists this ribosomal RNA (73 nucleotides) under Fusarium sp. AL-18 IRH-2012e. Its description in RNAcentral is "partial 28S ribosomal RNA". The stretch from base 14 to 73 matches the Rfam family "Eukaryotic large subunit ribosomal RNA", at positions 1 to 60 of the family's 3401-position model. The record is from RNAcentral. Lineage: Eukaryota; Fungi; Ascomycota; Sordariomycetes; Hypocreales; Nectriaceae. RNAcentral also lists the same sequence under 1 other name.